This 484-nucleotide ribosomal RNA is filed under the name uncultured bacterium. Its description in RNAcentral is "partial 16S ribosomal RNA". It matches the Rfam family "Bacterial small subunit ribosomal RNA", at positions 30 to 507 of the family's 1533-position model. The record is from RNAcentral.
AUUGAACGCUGGCGGCAUGCCUUAUACAUGCAAGUCGAACGGCCGUACGGGCUUCGGGCUGGUGGGGUGUGGCGGACGGGUGGGUAAUAUAUCGGUAGGUACCCAGCAGUGGGGGCUAAGGUAGCGAAGGUUAAGCUAAUCUCGCAUCGGAUCUAUGGUUGAAAGGAGGGGACCGAAAGGGAUAGUGGUCCUUGCGGGGAAGAAUACUGAUUUGCUCGUUGGUGAGGUAAAGGCUCACCAAGGCGACGAACAGUAGCUGAUCUGAGAGGACGACCAGCCACACUGGAACUGAGACACGGUCCAGACUCCUACGGGAGGCAGCAGUGGGGAAUUUUGGGCAAUGGGCGCAAGCCUGAUCCAGCAAUGCCGCGUGAGUGAAGAAGGCCUUCGGAUUGUAAAGCUCUGUUGUCAGGGAAGAAACGAUAGAGACUAAUAUCCUUAGCUAAUGACGGUACCUGAAGAGUAAGCACCGGCUAACUACGUG